UGGGAGAUAGCUCAAUGGUAGAGCACCUGACUGUUAAUCAGGUGGUUGCAGGUUCGAGUCCCGCUCUCCCAGCCA
This 75-nucleotide transfer RNA is filed under the name Ensifer sp. ENS10. RNAcentral describes it as "tRNA-Asn". It matches the Rfam family "tRNA". From Rfam's summary of the family: Transfer RNA (tRNA) molecules are approximately 80 nucleotides in length. The record is from RNAcentral. Lineage: Bacteria; Pseudomonadati; Pseudomonadota; Alphaproteobacteria; Hyphomicrobiales; Rhizobiaceae.